CCCCGAGUUGAUACGUGUCUCCAGUGGCUUUAAGAAGCUUUGGUGUGCGGUAAAAGCAGUGCAGAUCUGUGUAGCCAAAACGCCUGGAGCUAUUAGGGCAGCAUUUACUGUAUUUUGUAUCCUGCUAUUGGAGAUUGGUUCCAGCCCCCCAUCAGGGACUGGAAAUGUUCCUGCUUCCCUGUUACUUAACAGGACAGAGCUGCUCACUGCUGCUUUCUCUUCCUGCUGUUUUUAUCCGAGCGAAUCGAUCUGCCGCAAAACAUAAUCCGUCUCCCGUGUGCGAGCGCGUGUCUUUUUUUUUUUGUUGUGCUAAGUCAUUCUUUCAGCCCUCCUCCCUGGAGCACCGCUACCUUGCUCGAGCAACUGGCGCGGCCCUUCUUCCGUCCGGAGGUCGGGAGCGCCGACGACAAGGAGCAUAGAUCGAAAUUCCACGCGGGUGAAAAAAAACCACGCGUUUCCGAAGGCCGGCUCUCACUUUCGCUUGGUUUUCGCUUUUGGUUUGCGUUGUAUGCGGAGCGACGUCCGGCUCAACAGGACUAGACCAGCUCAGCCGACUCAACGGAGCUCGCGGUAGGAUGAUACCGUGUUGGCUACGGCCACCUCUGAUCAUCAGUCACCGUGGUGAUGCAGGUCCAGCGUUUACCAGAAGAUUAGUCGGACCCUGUGGCGACUUCCUCCUGCUGCUUUCGCAGCUCCAGCCGGAGACAUGGCGGAGAUGCAAGGGGGAGCUGCGUGCGAAGGCUCGGGGAGAAGAUCGGACCCGUCGUCCACGAGCCGCAGAGGACGGUGGCGCGAGGGACGGAGCAGCCCACCACGUACGCGAGGGCACCCUCUUCCCAGAAUAGCCGACAGGUUUGCGGCAAGGGGUCUGAACGGUAACUGGCUGAAAAACCGAAUACGAGGACCCUUCCGAUGACCCGUGACCUUAGAUUUUUACUGUCUUAUUGUUUUCAUCGAGGACGCCCGCGGUACCUGCUCUGAAUGUGUCUCUGUGUUCCGCUAUUUCCAUAAUUGGGCCGUUUAAUGACACUGCUUAUGUAUUCAUAAGCUCUGGAAAUGGAUUUACGUGAUUUGACGGGAUAUUACAUGUGCAGCGUUACUCAGUGUAGAUCUUGUUCGAUCCAUUAAACCUGUUAAUGAACAAAGGCACUUGUUUCCAGGUUCCUCUAUUCCAGACGCACCUUAACAACGGCAAAACGCGGCGGCUCCCCCCCCACCCCCUCCCCCAGGCGACGGGGAGAAUGCGUUUGACCACAGCCGGACCUUCGCGACUUUCAUUAACACCUGGCCGUUAGAGGACCGGUCUGUUGCGCGCGGCUCGGAGCGAG
RNAcentral lists this long non-coding RNA (1328 nucleotides) under Scleropages formosus (Asian bonytongue). RNAcentral's name for it is "lncRNA (ENSSFOG00015025998.1)". The record is from RNAcentral. Lineage: Eukaryota; Metazoa; Chordata; Actinopteri; Osteoglossiformes; Osteoglossidae.